ACAAAAGAAACCAACUUCUAAGACACUAUAUAAAGAACAUAAUACCAUUUUGGGAAGGAUAUAUCUUACUAUAUGCGUAAAAAUCAGUUGGUUAUGAAAUCCCAAUGUCAAAAAGUACCAACAACUCAAAGCGAGGAGAGACUAAGGGAAAUUUGGAAAAUGAAAACACGACUAAAUACCUGAUGUACUGAUAAGAAAGCUGGGCAGCAGCUUCUAAUGCCUCAUCGGUGUAACGGAGCUUGUGAUGAAUCUCAUAUCUCUCCCGAAGCCCUUUCAAGAUUUGUAUGGUUUCAUCCACAGUAGGUUCAGGGACUUUAACUGGCUGGAACCUCCUCUCCAACGCAGGAUCUUUCUCAAUGUGCUUUCUGUACUCAUCCAGGGUUGUGGCUCCAAUACACUGACAAAUGAAACCAAAUAAACUACUUCUCAGUUACACCAGCAGUAAAUAUUUUGUCACCGUUAACAGAUUUACCUUUCGACAUUAUUUUGCAGUUCUACCAGGAUCAAGAUAAUGAUUAAUCAUCAAAUUAAAAAGUGUAUUUCUAUUAAGUUUACAAGGAACACACUAGGUCUAGGAGGAUAACUAACCUGUAGUUCCCCUCUAGCUAAGGCAGGUUUCAAGAUGUUUGCAGCAUCAAUUGCCCCCUCUGCAGCUCCAGCUCCAAUCAAUGUGUGCACUUCAUCAAUAAAGAGUAUUAUUUCAUCACUUUGUUUAAUUUCUUCCAUUAGUUUCUUCAGUCUUUCCUCAAACUCUCCACGGUAUUUUGUCCCAGCAACAAGCAAACCCAUAUCUAGUGUUAUGACCUAAUCAUCACAAAUAGCAAGUCACAUAAGAAAAGGGAUUUACAAAUUAAAAGAAAAAUAAUACCACAUAUGACUGUACACUAGAUAUGGGUUUGCUUGUUGCUGGGACAAAAUACCGUGGAGAGUUUGAGGAAAGACUGAAGAAACUAAUGGAAGAAAUUAAACAAAGUGAUGAAAUAAUACUCUUUAUUGAUGAAGUGCACACAUUGAUUGGAGCUGGAGCUGCAGAGGGGGCAAUUGAUGCUGCAAACAUCUUGAAACCUGCCUUAGCUAGAGGGGAACUACAGGUUAGUUAUCCUCCUAGACCUAGUGUGUUCCUUGUAAACUUAAUAGAAAUACACUUUUUAAUUUGAUGAUUAAUCAUUAUCUUGAUCCUGGUAGAACUGCAAAAUAAUGUCGAAAGGUAAAUCUGUUAACGGUGACAAAAUAUUUACUGCUGGUGUAACUGAGAAGUAGUUUAUUUGGUUUCAUUUGUCAGUGUAUUGGAGCCACAACCCUGGAUGAGUACAGAAAGCACAUUGAGAAAGAUCCUGCGUUGGAGAGGAGGUUCCAGCCAGUUAAAGUCCCUGAACCUACUGUGGAUGAAACCAUACAAAUCUUGAAAGGGCUUCGGGAGAGAUAUGAGAUUCAUCACAAGCUCCGUUACACCGAUGAGGCAUUAGAAGCUGCUGCCCAGCUUUCUUAUCAGUACAUCAGGUAUUUAGUCGUGUUUUCAUUUUCCAAAUUUCCCUUAGUCUCUCCUCGCUUUGAGUUGUUGGUACUUUUUGACAUUGGGAUUUCAUAACCAACUGAUUUUUACGCAUAUAGUAAGAUAUAUCCUUCCCAAAAUGGUAUUAUGUUCUUUAUAUAGUGUCUUAGAAGUUGGUUUCUUUUGUAUCGACAUCUGAAUAAGCUUAUGCAUAUUUUUAUCUACUACUGAAAAUUGGCACAUUUAUCUCCACCAAAAUAUUUUUCCUUGAUUCCAUGAUAACUCAUUUAUGGUUGAGCACGCUUUUAACUUGAACCUUUGCUUGUUCCAGUGACCGUUUUCUGCCUGAUAAAGCAAUUGAUUUGAUUGAUGAAGCUGGUUCUCGUGUUAGACUUCGCCAUGCACAGGUAUAAAGUACUCUCUUAAUCUGCCUUUCCCAGCCCUCUUUUACUAAUGGAGUCAUGACCUGUUUUCUUGAUACGAUCUAGCUUCCUGAGGAAGCAAGAGAGCUCGAGAAAGAACUUCGUCAGAUUACAAAGGAGAAAAAUGAAGCCGUGCGUGGUCAAGAUUUUGAAAAGGUGAUUGGUUUUCUCUGAUUCUGUGCAUAAAAUUCCUGUGACCUGCUUUCUUCCUAAGUAAAAGCAUUGAACUGCUUUUGAUGCUAAAUAGUGUAAUUGCAGAGUUUGUAUUACAUAAUCUCGUAUCUUUCAAUACAUUUGACAGGCUGGGGAACUGCGUGAUAGAGAAAUGGAUCUUAAGGCACAGAUCUCAGCCCUGAUAGACAAAAACAAAGAGAUGAGCAAGGCUGAAUCUGAGGCUGGAGAUACAGGUCCCCUCGUUACAGAGGCAGAUAUUCAGCACAUUGUAUCUUCAUGGACUGGCAUCCCUGUUGAGAAGGUUUCUACAGAUGAGUCUGAUCGCCUCUUGAAAAUGGAAGAAACACUUCACACCAGAAUCAUUGGCCAGGAUGAAGCUGUUAAAGCCAUUAGUCGCGCUAUCCGACGUGCUCGUGUUGGGCUCAAGAAUCCCAACCGACCUAUUGCCAGUUUCAUCUUUUCUGGUCCAACUGGUGUUGGGAAAUCAGAACUGGCUAAGGCUUUAGCAGCAUACUACUUUGGUUCUGAAGAAGCAAUGAUCCGGCUUGAUAUGAGUGAGUUUAUGGAGAGACACACCGUCUCUAAACUCAUUGGUUCACCCCCUGGUUAUGUUGGUUACACUGAAGGUGGUCAACUGACUGAAGCUGUGACUGUUACUUGAAUACAAGGCCUAUGAAGUCUUCAUAUUUUAUAGAAAAAAAUAAUAGAAUUGUGCUGUGCGCGAUGCACUAAUACUUCAGCCAUUUAACGGAAAGUUAAUGAAACGUAGCAUUAGAGAAAUAUAUGUUCAUAACCUAUUUCCUUAUAUGCAUUCUACAAAGAUUGUGAUCUGAGCCAGACAUCAGGAAAAAGGUGCUGAAAACAAUGACAAAUUCGACUAUCACCUACCAUAAAUUAGAAGAUAUGGUUCUACAUAGUCUUCGUCGCAAUUUUACACUAUCUUGCGAGAUCACUAGAAUCUUAACGAAAUCCAGUAUGUAGCGUGUAAUCCUGAAAGCUCUGCAUAUAAUGGAGAUGCUACCCUUCUCAACUUGGCAGAUUUCAUCACCGGAUAACCCCAUAAAUUACUCACAAGUUGCUUCAUAACCCCAGGAGGGCUUAGUGGCCACGACAAAUGAAAGCAACAUUACAAACAACAAAUUUGCAGAGCUAAAGCAAGAAGCGGAUCUACACAGGGAUAGGCUCAGGAGCUGGAUCUGAGGGAGUUCCGCUAGUGCCAUUGAGGACGGUCACAUUGCCAUCAGAGUCCACGUCCACAAUUACUGAAUCACCUUCUUUGAUCUCACCUGCAAGCAUCUUCUCGGCCAUGCUGUCUUCCAGCAGUCUCAUAAUAGCUCUCCUCAACGGUCUUGCUCCGUAGCUUGGGUUGUACCCUUCGUCAACCACCCUGUCUCUAAACCUCUCUGUCACUUGAAGUUCUAUCUCCUUAUUUUUCAACCUCUCAAAGACCUCCUUAAGCAUGAUAUCAGCUAUCUCCUUCACCUCUAACUUAGUUAGCUGACGGAAUACAAUCAUCUCAUCCAAUCUGUUCAAGAACUCUGGCCUGAAGUACUGUUUCAACUCCUCAGUCACCAAGCUUUUGAUACGGUUGUAACUGCUAUCCUUCUCGUCAUAAUCUAGAUCAAAACCUAUACGACGGCCUCCUUUCUCUAUCACACUGCUUCCGACAUUCGAUGUCAUGAUGAGAAGUGUAUUCUUGAAGUCCACAGUUCUGCCCUUGCUGUCUGUCAAUCUUCCAUCUUCAAGAAUUUGAAGCAUCAUGUUGAAGACAUCAGGAUGAGCCUUCUCAAUCUCAUCAAAGAGCACAACAGUGUAAGGUCGACGCCUCACAGCUUCAGUCAGUUGACCACCUUCAGUGUAACCAACAUAACCAGGGGGUGAACCAAUGAGUUUAGAGACGGUGUGUCUCUCCAUAAACUCACUCAUAUCAAGCCGGAUCAUUGCUUCUUCAGAACCAAAGUAGUAUGCUGCUAAAGCCUUAGCCAGUUCUGAUUUCCCAACACCAGUUGGACCAGAAAAGAUGAAACUGGCAAUAGGUCGGUUGGGAUUCUUGAGCCCAACACGAGCACGUCGGAUAGCGCGACUAAUGGCUUUAACAGCUUCAUCCUGGCCAAUGAUUCUGGUGUGAAGUGUUUCUUCCAUUUUCAAGAGGCGAUCAGACUCAUCUGUAGAAACCUUCUCAACAGGGAUGCCAGUCCAUGAAGAUACAAUGUGCUGAAUAUCUGCCUCUGUAACGAGUGGACCUGUAUCUCCAGCCUCGGAUUCAGCCUUACUCAUCUCUUUGUUUUUGUCUAUCAGGGCUGAGAUCUGUGCCUUAAGAUCCAUUUCUCUAUCACGCAGUUCCCCAGCCUGUCAAAUGCAUUGAGAGAUACGAGAUUAUGUAAUGCAAACUCUGCAAUUACACUAUUUAGCAUGAAAAGCAGUUCAAUGCUUUUACUAAGGAAGAAAGCAGUUCACAGGAAUUUUAUGCACAGAAUCAGAGAAAACCAAUCACCUUUUCAAAAUCUUGACCGCGCACAGCUUCAUUUUUCUCCUUUGUAAUCUGACGAAGUUCUUUCUCGAGCUCUCUUGCUUCCUCAGGGAGCUAGAUCGUACCAAGAAAACGGGUCAUGCUCCAUUAGGAAAAGAGGACAGGGAAAGGUAGAUUAAGAGAGUACUUUAUACCUGUGCAUGGCGAAGUCUAACACGAGAACCAGCUUCAUCAAUCAAAUCAAUUGCUUUAUCAGGCAGAAAACGGUCACUGGAACAAGCAAAGGUUCAAGUUAAAAGCGUGCUCAACCAUAAAUGAGUUAUCAUGGAAUCAAGGAAAAAUAUUUUGGUGGAGAUAAAUGUGCCAAUUUUCAGUAGUAGAUAAAAAUAUGCAUAAGCUUAUUCAGAUGUCGAUACAAAAGAAACCAACUUCUAAGACACUAUAUAAAGAACAUAAUACCAUUUUGGGAAGGAUAUAUCUUACUAUAUGCGUAAAAAUCAGUUGGUUAUGAAAUCCCAAUGUCAAAAAGUACCAACAACUCAAAGCGAGGAGAGACUAAGGGAAAUUUGGAAAAUGAAAACACGACUAAAUACCUGAUGUACUGAUAAGAAAGCUGGGCAGCAGCUUCUAAUGCCUCAUCGGUGUAACGGAGCUUGUGAUGAAUCUCAUAUCUCUCCCGAAGCCCUUUCAAGAUUUGUAUGGUUUCAUCCACAGUAGGUUCAGGGACUUUAACUGGCUGGAACCUCCUCUCCAACGCAGGAUCUUUCUCAAUGUGCUUUCUGUACUCAUCCAGGGUUGUGGCUCCAAUACACUGACAAAUGAAACCAAAUAAACUACUUCUCAGUUACACCAGCAGUAAAUAUUUUGUCAUGUUAACAGAUUUACCUUUCGACAUUGUUUUGCAGUUCUACCAGGAUUAACUCAGGAUCAAGAUAAUGAUUAAUCAUCAAAUUAAAAAGUGUAUUUCUAGUUCUUGUUUAAAUUUACAAGGAACAUACUAGGUCUAGGAGGAUAACUAACCUGUAGUUCCCCUCUAGCUAGGGCAGGUUUCAAGAUAUUUGCAGCAUCAAUUGCCCCCUCUGCAGCUCCAGCUCCAAUCAAUGUGUGCACUUCAUCAAUAAAGAGUAUUAUUUCAUCACUUUGUUUAAUUUCUUCCAUU
Molecule: long non-coding RNA, 5717 nt
Filed under: Nicotiana benthamiana
Lineage: Eukaryota; Viridiplantae; Streptophyta; Magnoliopsida; Solanales; Solanaceae
Description: long non-coding RNA (NBEN_LNC022571)
Source: RNAcentral